UCAAACUUGGUCAUUUAGAGGAAGUAAAAGUCGUAACAAGGUUUCCGUAGGUGAACCUGCGGAAGGAUCAUUAACGCAUCUCUGGCGGCGAGGGUGCGCCCAGCUCCGGACCGAAAGGCCGUGCAGCGGGCUAUCCCGGACCGCUAAACCUUUGCAAACCCACUGUGCACUUUUGUCGGCAAAAGGGCCUUUGCGGGCCCCGAGCCGGAUCACAAACACUUUGUUAAACGAAUGCAAGCGGACAUUGAGCCGUCUAAACUUUAACAACUUUCAACAACGGAUCUCUUGGCUCUCGCAUCGAUGAAGAACGCAGC
Molecule: unclassified non-coding RNA, 314 nt
Filed under: uncultured fungus
Lineage: Eukaryota; Fungi
Description: partial contains small subunit ribosomal RNA, internal transcribed spacer 1, and 5.8S ribosomal RNA
Rfam family: Eukaryotic small subunit ribosomal RNA (bases 1-73)
Source: RNAcentral